Molecule: ribosomal RNA, 468 nt
Filed under: uncultured bacterium
Lineage: Bacteria
Description: partial 16S ribosomal RNA
Rfam family: Bacterial small subunit ribosomal RNA
Source: RNAcentral
GACGAACGCUGGCGGCGUGCUUAACACAUGCAAGUCGAACGGAAAGGCCCUGCUUUUGUGGGGUGCUCGAGUGGCGAACGGGUGAGUAACACGUGAGUAACCUGCCCUUGACUUUGGGAUAACUUCAGGAAACUGGGGCUAAUACCGGAUAGGAGCUCCUGCUGCAUGGGGGGGGUUGGAAAGUUUCGGCGGUUGGGGAUGGACUCGCGGCUUAUCAGCUUGUUGGUGGGGUAGUGGCUUACCAGGGCUUUGACGGGUAGCCGGCCUGAGAGGGUGACCGGCCACAUUGGGACUGAGGUACGGCCCAGACUCCAACGGGAGGCAGCAGUGGGGAAUAUUGCACAAUGGGCGGAAGCCUGAUGCAGCAACGCCGCGUGCGGGAUGACGGCCUUCGGGUUGUAAACCGCUUUCGCCUGUGACGAAGCGUGAGUGACGGUAAUGGGUAAAGAAGCACCGGCUAACUACGUG